This 384-nucleotide ribosomal RNA is filed under the name uncultured soil bacterium. RNAcentral's name for it is "bacterial SSU rRNA". It matches the Rfam family "Bacterial small subunit ribosomal RNA", at positions 26 to 425 of the family's 1533-position model. The record is from RNAcentral.
AGAACGAACGCUGGCGGCAUGCCUAACACAUGCAAGUCGAACGGGACCUUCGGGUCUAGUGGCGCACGGGUGCGUAACGCGUGGGGAUCUGCCCUUAGGUACGGAAUAACUCAGGGAAACUUGAGCUAAUACCGUAUAAUGACUUCGGUCCAAAGAUUUAUCGCCUAGGGAUGAACCCGCGUAGGAUUAGCUUGUUGGUGAGGUAAAGGCUCACCAAGGCGACGAUCCUUAGCUGGUCUGAGAGGAUGAUCAGCCACACUGGGACUGAGACACGGCCCAGACUCCUACGGGAGGCAGCAGGUGGGGAAUAGUUGGAACAAGUGGGACGAAAGCCUAGACUCCAGCAAUGCCGCGUAGAGUGAGUGGAACGGCCGUUUAGGGUUA